AAUACCAGUAAUUUUUACUUCGUCUAGAGGCUUGUCAUGAGUGUCAACUCUGGUGUUCUCGAUUCUUCGGACGACGUCCUGCAGGAAAAAAAGCAUUAAUUUAGACGAAGAAAACUCGGCGCCCGAGCUGCGUUUACUAAGAGCUUCAUUUGCUGGAAUAAGCACACCACACGACGUCCUGCAGGAAAAAAAGCAUUAAGUUAGACGAAGAAAAUUCGGCACCCGAGCUGCGUUUGCUAAAAGCUUCAUUUUCAGGCAUCCACACACGAAGCAAGUAGCCUCUCUAUUUCCGCUGCCAUUAGUGUCAAGAGCAAACUUGAGAUAAUGCACUAUCUAUGUAUCAUAAUGUGUCAAUCCUCGGGCUUUCUUUCGUCUCCGCGUACUCCCGCUUCCAGUCUCCGCGUCGCCCUGUGUCCCCGAGGAUGUAAAAUGGCAUGCUUGUUACAGGGUUUGUUAGAUUAGCCUAUGGAACCACUGACCAUUCCUUCGAGAACCUUCCCGAAGCACGUGUGACUGCCAUCGAGCCACGAAGUCUUGAUCGUAGUAAUGUAGAACUGGGAACCGUUCGUGUUCUUGCCGGCGUUCGCCAUGCACAACCAGCCAGGACCAUAGUGCUUCAGGUUGAAGUUCUCGUCGUCGAAAUAUUUACCAUAGAUGCUAUAUCCUGAUGACAAGGCAACCUAUCAGAGACUGGUCGAAGGUUUUAAAAGGAAAGAUCAGAAGGGAAGUUAAUAACGCAUUUUAAAAGGGGCAGCAUCAUCAGCUACGCAUCUAGUAUAAGCAUGCGGUAUCAUGCUUUUCUUGGGACAUACAUAGUGAAACCUCUUUCAGUCAGAUGACAAAGAGAAUAAACUUCUGUGUGUUUUUUUUU
Long non-coding RNA from Nematostella vectensis (starlet sea anemone), 871 nucleotides. RefSeq lists it as uncharacterized. The transcript is spliced from 2 exons. The record is from RefSeq and is a predicted model, not a curated record. NCBI's taxonomy places the organism in Eukaryota, Metazoa, Cnidaria, Anthozoa, Actiniaria, Edwardsiidae.